Molecule: ribosomal RNA, 301 nt
Filed under: uncultured bacterium
Lineage: Bacteria
Description: partial 16S ribosomal RNA
Rfam family: Bacterial small subunit ribosomal RNA
Source: RNAcentral
CAGUAGCCACGGUAAUACAGAGGGUGCGAGCGUUAAUCGGAUUUACUGGGCGUAAAGCGUGCGUAGGCGGCUUUUUAAGUCGGAUGUGAAAUCCCUGAGCUUAACUUAGGAAUUGCAUUCGAUACUGGGAAGCUAGAGUAUGGGAGAGGAUGGUAGAAUUCCAGGUGUAGCGGUGAAAUGCGUAGAGAUCUGGAGGAAUACCGAUGGCGAAGGCAGCCAUCUGGCCUAAUACUGACGCUGAGGUACGAAAGCAUGGGGAGCAAACAGGAUUAGAUACCCCUGUAGUCCCUGUCUCUUAUAU